GGCAUCUUAGUCUAUUAAGGACAUAUAACUUGCAAUUAUAAAGAGGAAAAAUCCAGAUCGCCA
RNAcentral lists this transfer RNA (63 nucleotides) under Trypanobia cryptica. Its description in RNAcentral is "tRNA-Ala". The record is from RNAcentral. Lineage: Eukaryota; Metazoa; Annelida; Polychaeta; Phyllodocida; Syllidae.